Molecule: ribosomal RNA, 451 nt
Filed under: uncultured bacterium
Lineage: Bacteria
Description: partial 16S ribosomal RNA
Rfam family: Bacterial small subunit ribosomal RNA
Source: RNAcentral
GUGGGGAAUAUUGGACAAUGGGGGGAACCCUGAUCCAGCCAUGCCGCGUGUGUGAAGAAGGCCUUUUGGUUGUAAAGCACUUUAAGCGAGGAGGAGGCUACCGAGAUUAAUACUCUUGGAUAGUGGACGUUACUCGCAGAAUAAGCACCGGCUAACUCUGUGCCAGCAGCCGCGGUAAUACAGAGGGUGCAAGCGUUAAUCGGAUUUACUGGGCGUAAAGCGCGCGUAGGUGGCCAAUUAAGUCAAAUGUGAAAUCCCAGAGCUUAACUUGGGAAUUGCAUUCGAUACUGGUUGGCUAGAGUAUGGGAGAGGAUGGUAGAAUUCCAGGUGUAGCGGUGAAAUGCGUAGAGAUCUGGAGGAAUACCGAUGGCGAAGGCAGCCAUCUGGCCUAAUACUGACACUGAGGCGCGAAAGCAUGGGGAGCAAACAGGAUUAGAAACCCCUGUAGUCC